CAGCAGCCACGGUAAUACGUAGGGUGCAAGCGUUAAUCGGAAUUACUGGGCGUAAAGCGUGCGCAGGCGGUUUGUUAAGACAGAUGUGAAAUCCCCGGGCUCAACCUGGGAACUGCAUUUGUGACUGGCAAGCUAGAGUGUGGCAGAGGGGGGUAGAAUUCCAGGCGUAGCGGUGAAAUGCGUAGAGAUCUGGAGGAACAUCAGUGGCGAAGGCGGCCAUCUGGGACAACACUGACGCUGAGGCACGAAAGCGUGGGGAGCAAACAGGAUUAGAUACCCCGGUAGUCCCUGUCUCUUAUAU
RNAcentral lists this ribosomal RNA (301 nucleotides) under uncultured bacterium. RNAcentral's name for it is "partial 16S ribosomal RNA". It matches the Rfam family "Bacterial small subunit ribosomal RNA", at positions 509 to 809 of the family's 1533-position model. The record is from RNAcentral.